AUGGAGAAUGUGCAGUAUGCCGAAGAACUCGUGAGGGAGUUUCUUGUCUUCAGGGGUUUCACGAACACGCUGCAAGCUUACGAGGCAGAAUUGUCCACCGAGAUCGGCAGGAACUUUGAAGUAGACAAGAUCCUAGAUUUAGUGUUCUCAGUGUACAUACCAAAAUACCAACUGGAUAGACUGCUAAGCAUCUUCAGCUUUUUAAAACAGUGUUUCACUUCACCUGCGGACACGGUACUCUACACGGCGCUUCUUAAACUGGAGCAGUCAGUAUUACGCUAUUAUGUUGUCAAUGCCUUGAAAUCUGGAAGGCAAGAAAAAGUUGUUGAAUUCUUUAGCGCAAGCGGCAGUUAUCUGAUGCAAAAGCGUGAAGAUUGGAUAGCAUGGUUUGCUAUACCAUAUAUUAAGAACCCAAGCUUGGAUCCACAGUUCCGUAUGUAUUUUUCCAAAGAAUGGUCAGACACUUUGGUUCUUUCAUUUCGGAACUUCUUAAGUGGGAUAUUCAAUGGUACUCGAAUCCCAGCUCUUUUGAAGAUUAGCACUGAAAAAAACAUGAUCAAGUGCCUCAAGAGUGACAUAAAGCAACUGAAUAACAAAUUGUCAGAACUGCAAGCAUUGUUAGAGGUGAAGGAAGUUGAACUAUCUCUGCUGAGAAGGAGUGGUAAUAGUAUUGAUUCUGGACACAAGAAUUUACUCAAGAUUACUACAGCUGGUUCUUCCGCUGAUGGACAAGCUUCCUCAGGAGUCUACGAAGAAUCCUCAACUUCAAGUAUACAGGGUGUUGACUCACAUACUUUGAGUUCAGUAAAAUCAAGAGAUGAGAAAUUGUGCGAUUCUUCUUGGAUGAGCAAUGCAGAAAAUGAGCAGAUUUUGGUGACAGAGGAAGAUUUUCCUGAAGUGAAGGUGGAUUUUCAGGAAACAUUUUUAGGCCAUAACAGUUCCAUAAGUAGCUGUCGGUUUUCUGCUUCUGGAUCAAAUAUUGCCAGUUCUUCGACUGAUGGCACAGUGAGAAUUUGGACAUACGACUCAUCAACACCAUCAUCAAAAAAUGCAACUAUAUACUGUGGAGCUGAAGUCAGAGCACUUUCUUGGGAAUGCAGAUCUGACCGCUUGCUGCUCAUAGGCACAGCUAAUGGAGGCAUUAAAGCUUGGAAUGCUGAUGCAAAGAGAGUUGUUUGUGACCUCAGUACAUCCAAGGACUUCCCAAGUGUGCUUGAUUUGAAGUGUAGCCCUGUAGAUCCCGUGUUCGUCUCCGCAGCUGCAUCGAGACGGCAUGGAUCAACUAUAUUUGACAGAACAGGAUUUGCCUCCUUGACAGUAUGGCAUAUGAAAACAUGGAAGCCUCUGACAGUCCUCCCUCUUGGCGAGGAUCCACCUGCUAUUACUUCACUUUGCUUCAAUCACAAUGGGAAGAUCUUGGCAGCCUCUGCAACAGAUGGCAUGAUUCACAUGUUUGACAUGUCUGCUGGUCUACAAAUCACCGGAUGGCCUGCUCAUGAUUCCCCUGUCAGCUCAGUUCUUUUUGGGCCAGCUGAAACAAGCAUCUUCAGUUUAGGCUCAGAUGGAAAGAUAUUUGAGUGGAGCUUGCACAAUCAAGGUCAGAUUAUUUGGUCAAGAGAUUGCAGUAGGUUUUGUAACCCUGAGAGCUUUAACAAACACAUGCAUGAGGUAGCGUUGGAUUCUAAUGGCAAGAGACUUCUUGCUUCUUCGGGUUUGGUUCGGGCUCCAAUAUACCAGGUGCAAGGCCAUGAGAGAGGGUUGAGGACACUUCCUCAUACUGCACCUAUAACAAGUGUGGACUGGCACCCCACGCGGCCAAUCUAUGUUACUGGUUCUGAAGACCACUCUGUCCGCGUCACAUCCAUUCUAUGA
Molecule: ribosomal RNA, 1872 nt
Filed under: Triticum aestivum (bread wheat)
Lineage: Eukaryota; Viridiplantae; Streptophyta; Magnoliopsida; Poales; Poaceae
Description: partial small subunit ribosomal RNA
Source: RNAcentral